RNAcentral lists this ribosomal RNA (254 nucleotides) under uncultured bacterium. RNAcentral's name for it is "partial 16S ribosomal RNA". It matches the Rfam family "Bacterial small subunit ribosomal RNA", at positions 524 to 776 of the family's 1533-position model. The record is from RNAcentral.
UACGAAGGGGGCUAGCGUUGCCCGGAAUCACUGGGCGUAAAGCGCACGUAGGCGGACUCUUAAGUCGGGGGUGAAAUCCUGGAGCUCAACUCCAGAACUGCCUUCGAUACUGAGAGUCUUCGAGUUCGGGAGAGGUGAGUGGAACUGCGAGUGUAGAGGUGAAAUUCGUAGAUAUUCGCAAGAACACCUGUGGCGAAGGCGGCUCACUGGCCCGAUACUGACGCUGAGGUGCGAAAGCUUGGGGAGCAAACAGG